UUGUUUGAAGCUGUUGGCCC
RNAcentral lists this non-coding RNA (20 nucleotides) under Rattus norvegicus (Norway rat). Lineage: Eukaryota; Metazoa; Chordata; Mammalia; Rodentia; Muridae. The record is from RNAcentral.